Molecule: ribosomal RNA, 468 nt
Filed under: uncultured bacterium
Lineage: Bacteria
Description: partial 16S ribosomal RNA
Rfam family: Bacterial small subunit ribosomal RNA
Source: RNAcentral
GACGAACGCUGGCGGCGUGCUUAACACAUGCAAGUCGAACGGAAAGGCCCUGCUUUUGUGGGGUGCUCGAGUGGCGAACGGGUGUGUAACACGUGAGUAACCUGCCCUUGACUUUGGGAUAACUUCAGGAAACUGGGGCUAAUACCGGAUAGGAGCUCCUGCUGCAUGUUGGGGGUUGGAAAGUUUCGGCGGUUGGGGAUGGACUCGCGGCUUAUCGGCUUGUUGGUGGGGUAGUGGCUUACCAAGGGUUUGACGGGUAGCCGGCCUGGGAGGGGGACCGGCCACAUGGGGACUGAGAUAGGGCCCAGACUCCUACGGGAGGCAGCGGGGGGGAUGAUGGCACAAGGGGGGGAAGCCUGAUGCAGCAACGCCGCGUGCGGGAUGACGGCCUUCGGGUUGUAAACCGCUUUCGCCGGUAACGAAGCGUGAGUGACGGUAACUAGUAAAGAAGCACCGGCUAACUACGUG